ACCUACUCGUAGAAUGAAAGGUUACAAAAUACCAUUUCUGACAGAAGUUAUGGUAUUUACACUGCCUUUUACUGUUAUUUCAGAUGAAAACACCAAAACAGCAGAGUUCAAUGCGAAACGUGGCGAAACUAGACGUAGAAGCAUACCACAUAGUCGCACAAUACGCUACCAGUGACAAAGUGACGGUAGUUCCAUAUAAUCGAGUGAGAUACUCGUUGAAUGUGACUAGGGAAUGGCGCGUAAAACAACUAGGCAGGAUACACACAAAGAUAAUGCAGGAACAAAACAAAUUCGAGCUAGUGUCUAUAUACCAAAGAGCAAUCUCUGGCGACUACUAGAUCCGUCCGUUAUGAGCAUGGCCCUAGAUAACAGCAUAAUUGAGGACAUAAAGACUUACUGAUAACGGAAUUAUUUUAUGUGGCGAGAUGAGAGGAAUCAACACCA
Long non-coding RNA from Ostrinia nubilalis (European corn borer), 444 nucleotides. RefSeq lists it as uncharacterized. NCBI's taxonomy places the organism in Eukaryota, Metazoa, Arthropoda, Insecta, Lepidoptera, Crambidae. The record is from RefSeq and is a predicted model, not a curated record. The transcript is spliced from 3 exons.